Molecule: unclassified non-coding RNA, 433 nt
Filed under: soil metagenome
Description: partial contains 5.8S ribosomal RNA, internal transcribed spacer 2, and large subunit ribosomal RNA
Rfam family: 5.8S ribosomal RNA (bases 1-120)
Source: RNAcentral
GAUGAAGAACGUAGCGAAAUGCGAUACGUAAUGUGAAUUGCAGAAUUCAGUGAAUCAUCGAAUCUUUGAACGCAUAUUGCGCUCUCUGGUAUUCCGGAGAGCAUGCUUGUUUGAGUAUCAGUAAACACCUCAACUCCCCUUUCUUUUUUUGAAAUGGGAGCUGGACUUGAGUGAUCCCAACGCUUUUCUCACCGAAAAGUGGCGGGUUACUUGAAAUGCAGGUGCAGCUGGACUUUUCUCUGAGCUAAAAGCAUAUCUAUUUAGUCUGCCUAAAAAACAGAUUAUUACCUUUGCUGCAGCUAACAUAAAGGAGAUUAGUUCUUGUGCUGACUGAUGCAGGAUUCACAGAGACAGCUUCGGCUGGCCUUUGUAAACUCGAUCUCAAAUCAAGUAAGACUACCCGCUGAACUUAAGCAUAUCAAUAAGCCGAGGA